UGAAUGUCGAGACACUUACCAAGAGUCGAGUCUACAAAGGCACCUCGACUUAGUUACCGACUGCCUCCUGAUCUGAAAACAUGAAGUUGAAAACGGUGAGUAUAAACUUAGUGAGUGAACAAGGAAGGGAAUAAACAAUCAAUAGGAAAAUUUUGAAAAUCAUGAUGCAUUUAUUUUAAAAUAAUGUAAUUUAAAUUAGUGCUUAUCAUAACCCCUCAAGAAAAUCCCAAUUGAUUAAAUCACUUAACGUAAAGGGUCCAUACUCAACUAUGGUACCAAAGAAGUGAAAAAUAGCGCAGCAAUCGAUCAAGAUGCUAAGCGAAAUAGAAAGUUUUUCGCUGCAACGAAAUUCAAGCCAUAAAACACAAACUUUCUCGCUGCAGCGAGAACCAUGUCUGGUGAAACCCUCGAAACUCGAGAGUUUCUCGCUGUAGCGAGAAUGAAUCUCGCUGCAGCGAUAAACAGGGCACCAGCAAAAAUUUCCCAUUUCCUCAAGAAAAGGCUAUCCUACUGAAAUGACAAAAAUAACAUAAAACACAUAUAAUUUCCCAAAGUUCAACAUGUCAAGUUUCGCAUGUAUUUCAAUCAUAUGCCAUAUUCAUACGCUUUUAUUUCAUAAACAUAGAUAUACAUGAAUACAUAGAUAACCACCAAUAUCACCAUCAUCACACCCAGCUCAUGUGCAUCCCCCCACAUCGUGCACAUAGCCGGAGUCAUCGUGUGCAUCCUCCCACAUCGUGCAUAGUCAGUGCCAUCGUGUACAUCCCCCCACAUCAUGCACACGAGCACUAUCAUCAUCCACCUCCCUCACCACGCCAUCACCGGCAUGUGCAUCCCCCCACAUCGUGCACACACACGGUUAUAAUCAUUACACAAUAUCAACCAUCAUGCACAGCAUAUAUAUAUAUAUAUAUAUACCAACAUAAUGUAGUAGUGCAUGAAUUCAUAACAACCACAUGUCACAACAUAAAGUCAAUUAUCAAAGGCUUGUUCCCAAGGCACUCGUUUUUAAGAAAAGUUGUAUAAAAUCAUUCAAAUGCUUUGUACAAAACAGUCAUAUUCCCAAAAUGAUUUUGAAAUGCAGUUCACUCACUGGUAUUAUUUGAGCCUUUAGUCAAUCUAACUUUCCUAAUUGUCCAAAUGGGAUGAUGGGGUUUCGUUGGAAUCUAUCAUCACAUUAGCAUCACCAAUUUGUCAAUUCACAUACUUAUAAAGUCUAAAGCUUUCUCUUAGCUUGCUUCCAAUUACCAUUUAAAUGGCUAUCUAUUUUCACUACCCUAAUCACUCUAAAAUGAGUAGAUAACCUCAACUAUAAACAUUCACAAGUCUACUUACUAAUCAUUCCCAACACUAAAAAUAAAUUCUAAUUCACUACUCACCUUAGUAGCUUGUAACUUUGAAAUUCUUUCCAAUAAAUUUUUCCCAACUAUUAUGGGAGCUUUCUCUCUCUUUCUUUCUCUAAACACCUAGCUAGUGAUAGAAAGUAUGAAAGUGGAAUUUUUUUCAAGGGUUUUGAAGUAAAAGAGUGAAAGAGCACAAGGGUUCCAUGAAAAGGUGCACAAAGGCAUGAAAAUUGGAGCUAGAGAGAGAAAGUUAUGAAGUUUUUAUACCAUGCUUCCAUGGAGGGGGAAACAAAUGUGAGAUGGAAGGAAGAAGAAG
RNAcentral lists this long non-coding RNA (1659 nucleotides) under Theobroma cacao (cacao). RNAcentral describes it as "long non-coding RNA (TCAC_LNC006182)". Lineage: Eukaryota; Viridiplantae; Streptophyta; Magnoliopsida; Malvales; Malvaceae. The record is from RNAcentral.